GUGAGGAAUAUUGGUCAAUGGACGGAAGUCUGAACCAGCCAUGCCGCGUGCAGGAAUAAGGUCCUAUGGAUUGAAAACUGCUUUUAUUCGGGAAUAAACCUCUUGACGUGUAGGGAGCUGAAGGUACCGAAGGAAUAAGCACCGGCUAACUCCGUGCCAGCAGCCGCGGUAAUACGGAGGGUGCAAGCGUUAUCCGGAAUCAUUGGGUUUAAAGGGUCCGCAGGCGGGCUAUCAAGUCAGAGGUGAAAUCCCACAGCUUAACGGUGGAACUGCCUUUGAAACAGAUGGUCAUGAAUUGAGUGGGCGUUGGCGGAAUAUGACAUGUAGCGGUGAGAUGCAUAGAUAUGUCAUGGAACACCGAAAGCGAAGGCAGCUAACGAUACUUAUAUUGACGCUCAUGGACGAAAGCGUGGGUAGCGAACAGGAUUAGAUACCACUGUAGUCC
Molecule: ribosomal RNA, 445 nt
Filed under: uncultured bacterium
Lineage: Bacteria
Description: partial 16S ribosomal RNA
Rfam family: Bacterial small subunit ribosomal RNA
Source: RNAcentral